UUUACGAAGAUAUCCACCUUAUUUCCCCAGUCCAGUUCGACCUCCUCCAGGGUCUAUCAUCGUUCCCUCUGGCCGUGUCCUCUCGCAGAGGUCACCCUCCUCUGAUUUAGACGACCCCUUUCCUUUUACAGGAACGUGCUUCGCCACUCUCGUGCUACAUAUUAAUUCCUUCUGCCACUUCUUUCCAAGCAUUACUGACACCUUAUAACUGUCUCCGAUAUACCUGCCAUUCGAGAGAAUGAUAGUUGGGGGCCCGCCUUAAUUCCUUACGAGUUUUUCAGGACAAGUUAGAUCAGCGCUUCUUCGACCACAGCGGGAGAAAGAGGGAAAGAAACCUGGGGCUGGGCUUACUGUGGUUCUUCGCUCCGGAGCUCGUAGUCCAAGAGCUGCGGCACACCUUGAUAGAGAUAGGGUAUUUGAUUCGCCUAUUCUAUUCAAUAUGAUGAAAGAUCCCCUGGCACUCCUUCAAAACACCUUAACUCGACUUCGUUAGGCUUACACCUCUUGUUGCCGAAUCCAAUACUACUUCGAUGAACCGGAUACCAAAAAUACCCAGCAACUAUCUCGACACGGUCCCAACGAGCCCACAAAAGGAUUUCCAGAAAGCGAUUUUCACCUAUAGUACCCAGGAAAAUAUAUAUGCCCAACAGAACGGCGAUGAAAGUGUUGAUGUUUUGGCUAUUGAGGAGCUGGACAUCGAUUUUCCUGUUGGAAAUCUGACAAUCAUCUGCGGUCCUGUUGGCUCAGGCAACAACUAUUUUGCUGAACUUGCUUGGAGAAGCUCAGUUGUACGAAGGAAGGGUGUUUAUGACCUAUGAUUACGCCAAUCGGUCUCUUUGUCCGAUUGAUAAGGAUUCGGGCCUGUCGGAUACAGUUGCUUACUAUGCACAGAAGCUCUGGCUUGUAGAGGCGUCUAUAAAGGAUAACAGUAUCUUCGGGUCAAUGUGAAACGCAAGGCGCUACAAACGUGUAGUCGAAGCUUGUGUGCUGAGAAUAGACUUCAAACAUUUACUAACGAAGUUCAAACGAAGGUUGGAGAAAAAGGUACUACUUGUUCAGGUGGUCAAAAAGGCUAGUAUUGCCUUACCUCGAGCUAUACACUCUCGGGCAAGGACUAUAUUGCUUGACCACAUCCUCACGUCCCCUCACAAUAUAUGUCCUGACUGCACAACACGUAUACGAGCAUUCCUUAAAGGGGAAUAUUCAAGGGCCUGUGCAAGCAGAAUGGUGAUGAAAGAGAAUUGUUUGAGCGUUCACAAGAGAAAAUAUGGUAUCGUUUAAAUGAAUGACCGACCCACAUGGCUUUCGUCUCAAGAUGAUAAUGACAGUGUCAUGGACUUUGUAGAGUCAUGUUUUACGUCAGUGUGGUACUGUAUGUCACAAAAAAAGACAGGAGAUCUUCAUACAACUGGGGAGGCAUACUAUAAUAAUUUAACAACCAAUACAGAUUAGACGUUGAUGUUACAUAUAUUUUAGAAGUCCGG
This 1484-nucleotide small RNA is filed under the name Cryptococcus neoformans H99. RNAcentral describes it as "Cryptococcus neoformans var. grubii H99 hypothetical RNA". The record is from RNAcentral. Lineage: Eukaryota; Fungi; Basidiomycota; Tremellomycetes; Tremellales; Cryptococcaceae.